CAUUGGACAGUAGGUACCAUUCGUCGUCCUCGUAUACACGCGGAUUCAAAGAAUAUCGUUUCAUACCAGCACAUGGAUUCCAUAUUACAAAAUCAAAAUAUUUAUCACUUGCAGUGACAUUCGCCGAUAUAAGAUCCAUUUCGUAGAUCACUGGCAACUGUACCGCUUCCGUCCCGUUCAUGGUGGCCUCCACGCAAUUGUCUCCGUUGAGGAAAGUGUCAACACGACAGCAUAGUGACAUGCGGGGCUUCCCGGAGCUGUCACCGGAGCUGUUGAUGCCAAUCGUUUUCUAGGAGUAAAGAGCCAGAGGAAACGAAGACAAAUAAUGUUAAUUCACGAUUGGAUAUGAGCAGAGAGGAACCAAAUGCCAUUUUUUAGAUUUUUAUUAUUGAAAGUAUUAUAUAACCGAUAGCGAAUUAUGCAUAAUACAAUCAGUUGGCAAAAUUAUUUUAGAUCCACACAUGCUAUUGUAGAAUUUUUCUGAUUACUAUCUGAAUAUUAUUCAACUUUUUGAUGUUCCUUUCUGCGUAUUAUAUCCAAUUACACCAGUUAAUAGAGAAAAUAAUUGAGUCCAAGCCACUAUGUGAAUUAAUCAAUCAGAGAUGAACAAAUUACUGUAAUUCAUUAGCAGAUUAAUAUUUAAGCAGCUUCUGAUCUAUAAAUGCAUAAAUGUUCCACAUAUUUCAUUAUUUCUAGAUUAUUUGCAUUUACACAUUUAAUCAAGUUAAUUCUCAAGAUGCAAGUUCUUUCGAAAAUCUUGAUUAAUUACGACACACAAACAAUUAGUAAUCGUCUUUGAUCAUUAUUUCACGAAUACUCGAAAAUUUACUAUCAGUCAUUAUAACGAAAUCAGCAUUAAAUAUCGUUAAGGUAAGCAAAAGUAUUAUAAUACGCGUUAGCAAAGCGACGAAUUAAUAUCUCAUCGACAAAUUCCAAAUACAACAUAGUGUGCAAUCGAACUUGGAAUUAUCUCUACCUCCAGAUAAACAUGAGGGACGAUAAAAUUUUCCUUCCAUUUUGAUUCCUCUGGCUCUUCCUUUGUCUGAUCGCUUUCGAAAGUGGCAGCCGCGAUCAAGACCGCGUGAAACGCGAUGAACAGGGCUGUUCUCAGAUGCCGUUUCAUUAUGUACUAAUUUAAUGAGGCUGUUAAACAGCAACUCUGAAUAAUUAUCGUCACCGCCUCUCAACGUUAUCACCGUACGGAAGCUUACUCACGAAAGUGCCACAAGAAAUGAAGCGGAAGAGAGAAAGAGAAAGAUAAAAAACACGAUGACUCUCUGAAGAAAUACGUUAUCUCGAUGGAUUCGAUAAAGUUAGCACUACGUUCCGUUUUGCCGCGACUUUUCCUGGCGACGGAUGAAGCAGGAAGAGCGCACGAGAAAUGCGAAACACUCGCGCGAGCAACCGGACGAGACUACCAGACAACGAGCCGUCUGCGUUAGAGAAGCAGUCUACCUGCUGCGAAGCCACGCAUAUAGGGCGGGUCGAAAAAAAAAGAUUCAUU
Molecule: long non-coding RNA, 1504 nt
Organism: Acromyrmex echinatior (Panamanian leafcutter ant)
Lineage: Eukaryota; Metazoa; Arthropoda; Insecta; Hymenoptera; Formicidae
Source: RefSeq, a predicted model, not a curated record